UGAAACUGANGGUCUUGAGGGCAGGAGAGGAAAGCAGAAUUCCUGGUGUAGCGGUGAAAUGCGUAGAAAUCAGGAGGAAUACCAGUGGCGAAGGCGGCUUCCUGGACUGUCCCUGACGCUG
RNAcentral lists this ribosomal RNA (121 nucleotides) under uncultured bacterium. Its description in RNAcentral is "partial 16S ribosomal RNA". It matches the Rfam family "Bacterial small subunit ribosomal RNA", at positions 628 to 748 of the family's 1533-position model. The record is from RNAcentral.